UCUAGAUAAUAAGUCCUGCCACGAUUGCAGGGGACUGGACUAGAUGAUCUCUUGAGGUCCCUUCCAGUGCUAUGAUUGUGCUUUUACCUGGUUCUAGCUUGCCUCGUUAGCCAGAGGACUCCCCCCCACCUUGUCUUGUCCCUUUGCCAAGGUGCAUCAAUCUGGAUGAAGUAAGGAUGCUGGGUGGCAAGGGAGGGCAGGAGUGGGGGGGUGUGGAUGUGUGUGUGUGG
This is a non-coding RNA of Chelonoidis abingdonii (Abingdon island giant tortoise), 230 nucleotides long. The record is from RefSeq and is a predicted model, not a curated record. NCBI's taxonomy places the organism in Eukaryota, Metazoa, Chordata, Testudines, Testudinidae.